This 709-nucleotide ribosomal RNA is filed under the name Enterobacter cloacae. RNAcentral's name for it is "partial 16S rRNA". Lineage: Bacteria; Pseudomonadati; Pseudomonadota; Gammaproteobacteria; Enterobacterales; Enterobacteriaceae. The record is from RNAcentral.
UUGUCCAGGGGGCCGCCUUCGCCACCGGUAUUCCUCCAGAUCUCUACGCAUUUCACCGCUACACCUGGAAUUCUACCCCCCUCUACAAGACUCUAGCCUGCCAGUUUCGAAUGCAGUUCCCAGGUUGAGCCCGGGGAUUUCACAUCCGACUUGACAGACCGCCUGCGUGCGCUUUACGCCCAGUAAUUCCGAUUAACGCUUGCACCCUCCGUAUUACCGCGGCUGCUGGCACGGAGUUAGCCGGUGCUUCUUCUGCGGGUAACGUCAAUUGCUGCGGUUAUUAACCACAACACCUUCCUCCCCGCUGAAAGUACUUUACAACCCGAAGGCCUUCUUCAUACACGCGGCAUGGCUGCAUCAGGCUUGCGCCCAUUGUGCAAUAUUCCCCACUGCUGCCUCCCGUAGGAGUCUGGACCGUGUCUCAGUUCCAGUGUGGCUGGUCAUCCUCUCAGACCAGCUAGGGAUCGUCGCCUAGGUGAGCCGUUACCCCACCUACUAGCUAAUCCCAUCUGGGCACAUCUGAUGGCAAGAGGCCCGAAGGUCCCCCUCUUUGGUCUUGCGACGUUAUGCGGUAUUAGCUACCGUUUCCAGUAGUUAUCCCCCUCCAUCAGGCAGUUUCCCAGACAUUACUCACCCGUCCGCCACUCGUCACCCGAGAGCAAGCUCUCUGUGCUACCGUUCGACUUGCAUGUGUUAGGCCUGCCGCCAG